UACAGAGGUCUCAACCGUUGUUCGGAUUCAUUGGGCGUAAAGGGUGCGUAGGCGGUCGUGCAAGUCGGAUGUGAAAUCUCGGGGCUCAACCCCGAAACUGCAUUCGAUACUGCGUGGCUCGAGUACUGGAGAGGAAACUGGAAUUUACGGUGUAGCAGUGAAAUGCGUAGAUAUCGUAAGGAAGACCAGUGGCGAAGGCGAGUCUCUGGACAGUUACUGACGCUGAGGCACGAAGGCCAGGGGAGCAAACGGG
This 253-nucleotide ribosomal RNA is filed under the name uncultured bacterium. Its description in RNAcentral is "partial 16S ribosomal RNA". It matches the Rfam family "Bacterial small subunit ribosomal RNA", at positions 524 to 776 of the family's 1533-position model. The record is from RNAcentral.